GGAUUCCCCUAGUACUGCGAGUGAACCGGGAUGAGCUCAAAUUUAAAAUCUGGCGGUUUUGCCGUCCGAGUUGUAAUCUGGAGAAGCGUUUUCCGCGUCGGACCGUGUACAAGUCUCUUGGAAUAGAGCGUCAUAGAGGGUGAGAAUCCCGUCCAUGACACGGACUCCCGAUGCUUUGUGAUACGCUCUCAAAGAGUCGAGUUGUUUGGGAAUGCAGCUCAAAAUGGGUGGUAAAUUCCAUCUAAAGCUAAAUAUUGGCGAGAGACCGAUAGCGAACAAGUACCGUGAGGGAAAGAUGAAAAGCACUUUGGAAAGAGAGUUAAACAGUACGUGAAAUUGUUGAAAGGGAAACGCUUGAAGUCAGUCGCGUCGUACGGAGCUCAGCCUUGCUUCUGCUUGGUGUAUUCUCUGUGUCGAUGGGUCAACAUCAAUUUCGACCGGUGGAAAAGGGCUUAGGGAAUGUAGCGUCGUUUCGGCGACGUGUUAUAGCCCUAAGUCGUAUGCAUCGGUUGGGAUUGAGGACUGCAGCACGCCCUUGUGGCCGGGGGUUCGCCCCACGUUCGUGCUUAGGAUGUUGGCAAAAUGGCUUUAAGCGACCCGUCUUGAAACACGGACCAAGGAGUCUAACAUGCCUGCGAGUGUUCGGGUGGAAAACCCUUGCGCGUAAUGAAAGUGAAAGUUGGGAUCCUUCGUAAGGGGGUGCACCGACGCCCGGCCCUGACGUUCUCUGACGGUGCUGCGGUAGAGCAUGUAUGUUGGGACCCGAAAGAUGGUGAACUAUGCCUGAAUAGGGUGAAGCCAGAGGAAACUCUGGUGGAGGCUCGUAGCGAUUCUGACGUGCAAAUCGAUCGUCAAAUUUGGG
Molecule: ribosomal RNA, 862 nt
Filed under: Hymenochaete rheicolor
Lineage: Eukaryota; Fungi; Basidiomycota; Agaricomycetes; Hymenochaetales; Hymenochaetaceae
Description: eukaryotic LSU rRNA
Rfam family: Eukaryotic large subunit ribosomal RNA
Source: RNAcentral